UGGUUUUAUGGGGUAGAAUGGCAUGUAUAGGGUUGUAUGAGUUUUUAAGCAAAUGUUAUGUUUUUGAACAAUGUGAGUUGCUUGUGUGUUGUAGUUGGGGUUUUUGUUGGUUUGAUGCCCCUAGGAGCUUGUAUGUUUGCUUGUGAAUGCUUGGGAAUGUUGUAGAAUAGGUUUAUGCAUGAUUGGUUAGUUUUGGAGGCAUAAAUGCAUAAGGGAGCCAAGUUUCUGCCCUUUGG
This 236-nucleotide long non-coding RNA is filed under the name Manihot esculenta (cassava). RNAcentral describes it as "long non-coding RNA (MESC_LNC001575)". The record is from RNAcentral. Lineage: Eukaryota; Viridiplantae; Streptophyta; Magnoliopsida; Malpighiales; Euphorbiaceae.